AAGGUAUCCCACUUUCAAAUCAUGUGAUUCCAGUUUCCUAGUUUGGGAAUAGCACGGCUUCUUCCGUUCCAAUCAAACCAGGAAGAAUCACUUUCUGAGAAGCUUGAUUUGGAUACAUAAAGUGGUGGAGAAUCACCAGGAACUUGAAUAAACCUCAUAGGAGUUGGAAUGAAGAAGUUUUCCCACUUUCAAAUAAGGUGAUUCCAUUUUCCCAGUUUGGGAAUAGGACAGCUUCUUCGUCGUUCCAUGCAAACCAGGAUGAAUCACUUUGUGAGAAGCUUGAAUUGGACAGAUAAAGUGGUCGAGAAUCACCAGGAAGUUGAAUAAAUCUCAUAGGAGUUGGGAUGAAGAAGUUAUCCCACUUUCAAAUCUGGUGAUUCCAGUUUCCAGGUUGUGGAAUAUCACAGCUUCUUCGUUGUUCCAAUCAAACCAGGAUGAAAUACUUUGUGAGAAGCUUGAUUUGGAUACAUAAAGUGGUGGAGAAUCAUCAGGAAGUUUAAUAAGUCUCAUAAGAGUUGGGAUGAAGAAGUUAUUCUACUUUCAAAUCAGGUGAUUCCAGUUUUUCAGUUUGGGAAUAGCACAGCUUUUUCGUCGUUCCAAUCAAACCAGAAUUAAUCACUUUGUCAGAAGCUUUAUUUGGAUACAUAAAGUGAUGGAGAAUCACCAGGAAGUUGAAUAUCUCAUAGGAGUUGGCAAGAAAAAGUUAUUUCACUUUCAAAUCAUGUGAUUCGAGUUUCCCAGUUUGGGAAUAGCACAGCUUCUUCGUCGUUC
Molecule: long non-coding RNA, 771 nt
Filed under: Brassica napus (rape)
Lineage: Eukaryota; Viridiplantae; Streptophyta; Magnoliopsida; Brassicales; Brassicaceae
Description: long non-coding RNA (BNAP_LNC005222)
Source: RNAcentral